UACGAAGGGGGCUAGCGUUGCUCGGAAUCACUGGGCGUAAAGCGCACGUAGGCGGCUUCUUAAGUCAGGGGUGAAAUCCUGGAGCUCAACUCCAGAACUGCCUUUGAUACUGAGGAGCUUGAGUCCGGGAGAGGUGAGUGGAACUGCGAGUGUAGAGGUGAAAUUCGUAGAUAUUCGGAAGAACACCAGUGGCGAAGGCGACUCACUGGACGACUGUUGACGCUGAGGUGCGAAAGCGUGGGGAGCAAACAGG
This 253-nucleotide ribosomal RNA is filed under the name uncultured bacterium. RNAcentral describes it as "partial 16S ribosomal RNA". It matches the Rfam family "Bacterial small subunit ribosomal RNA", at positions 524 to 776 of the family's 1533-position model. The record is from RNAcentral.